AUUGAACGCUGGCGGCAUGCCUUACACAUGCAAGUCGAACGGUAACGCGGGGCAACCUGGCGACGAGUGGCGAACGGGUGAGUAAUGCAUCGGAACGUGCCCAGUAGUGGGGGAUAGCCCGGCGAAAGCCGGAUUAAUACCGCAUACGACCUUCGGGUGAAAGGGGGGGAUCGCAAGACCUCUCGCUAUUGGAGCGGCCGAUGUCAGAUUAGGGAGUUGGUGGGGUAAAAGCCUACAAAGCCGACGAUCUGUAGCUGGUCUGAGAGGACGACCAGCCACACUGGGAAUGAGACACGGCCCAGGCUCCAAUGGGAGGCAGCAGUGGGGAAUGUUGGACAAUGGGUGCAAGCCUGAUCCAGCCAUGCCGCGUGCGGGAAGAAGGCCUUCGGGUUGUAAACCGCUUUUGUCAGGGAAGAAACGCUUCGAGCUAAUACCUCGGAGUAAUGACGGUACCUGAAGAAUAAGCACCGGCUAACUACGUGCCUGCCGCUAGCGUUC
RNAcentral lists this ribosomal RNA (498 nucleotides) under uncultured bacterium. RNAcentral describes it as "partial 16S ribosomal RNA". It matches the Rfam family "Bacterial small subunit ribosomal RNA", at positions 29 to 522 of the family's 1533-position model. The record is from RNAcentral.